GAUGAACGCUGGCGGCGUGCCUAAUACAUGCAAGUCGAGCGAACAGACGAGGAGCUUGCUCCUCUGACGUUAGCGGCGGACGGGUGAGUAACACGUGGAUAACCUACCUAUAAGACUGGGAUAACUUCGGGAAACCGGAGCUAAUACCGGAUAAUAUAUUGAACCGCAUGGUUCAAUAGUGAAAGACGGUUUUGCUGUCACUUAUAGAUGGAUCCGCGCCGCAUUAGCUAGUUGGUAAGGUAACGGCUUACCAAGGCAACGAUGCGUAGCCGACCUGAGAGGGUGAUCGGCCACACUGGAACUGAGACACGGUCCCGACUCCUACGGGAGGCAGCAGUAGGGACUCUUCCGCAAUGGGCGAAAGCCUGACGGAGCAACGCCGCGUGAGUGAUGAAGGUCUUCGGAUCGUAAAACUCUGUUAUUAGGGAAGAACAAAUGUGUAAGUAACUAUGCACGUCUUGACGGUACCUAAUCAGAAAGCCACGGCUAACUACGUG
This 497-nucleotide ribosomal RNA is filed under the name uncultured bacterium. Its description in RNAcentral is "partial 16S ribosomal RNA". It matches the Rfam family "Bacterial small subunit ribosomal RNA", at positions 28 to 507 of the family's 1533-position model. The record is from RNAcentral.